RNAcentral lists this ribosomal RNA (1384 nucleotides) under human gut metagenome. RNAcentral describes it as "bacterial SSU rRNA". It matches the Rfam family "Bacterial small subunit ribosomal RNA". The record is from RNAcentral.
AGAGUUUGAUCCUGGCUCAGGACGAACGCUGGAGGCGUGCUUAACACAUGCAAGUCGAGCGAUGAAGCUUCUUCGGAAGUGGAUUAGCGGCGGACGGGUGAAUAACACGUGGGUAACCUGCCUCAUACAGGGGGAUAACAGUUAGAAAUGACUGCUAAUACCGCAUAAGACCACGGAGUCGCAUGACUCAGUGGGAAAAACUCCGGUGGUAUGAGAUGGACCCGCGUCUGAUUAGGUAGUUGGUGGGGUAACGGCCCACCAAGGCGACGAUGCGUAGCCGACCUGAGAGGGUGGACGGCCACACUGGGACUGAGACACGGCCCAAACUCCUACGGGAGGCUGCAGUAGGGAAUCUUCCACAAUGGACGCAAGUCUGAUGGAGCAACGCCGCGUGAGUGAAGAAGGCUUUCGGGUUGUAAACCUCUUUUGUUAGGGAGCAAUGGUCGGCAGAGUAACUGUUGUCGGAAUGACGGUACCCAAGGAGGAAGCCACGGCUAACUACGUGCCAGCAGCCGCGGUAAUACGUAGGUGGCAAGCGUUAUCCGGAAUUAUUGGGCGUAAAGAGGGAGCAGGCGGCAGCAAGGGUCUGUGGUGAAAGACUGAAGCUUAACUUCAGUAAGCCAUAGAAACCGGGCAGCUAGAGUGCAGGAGAGGAUCGUGGAAUUCCAUGUGUAGCGGUGAAAUGCGUAGAUAUAUGGAGGAACACCGGUGGCGAAGGCGACGAUCUGGCCUGUAACUGACGCUCAGGUGCGAAAGCGUGGGGAGCAAAUAGGAUUAGAUACCCUAGUAGUCCACGCCGUAAACGAUGAGUACUAAGUGUUGGAAGUCAAAUUUCAGUGCUGCAGUUAACGCAGUAAGUACUCCGCCUGGGGAGUACGACCGCAAGGUUGAAACUCAAAGGAAUUGACGGGGGCCCGCACAAGCGGUGGAGUAUGUGGUUUAAUUCGACGCAACGCGAAGAACCUUACCAGGUCUUGACAUUGAUGGACAGAACUAGAGAUAAUCCCCAUAGUUAUGGAGAAGACAGGUGGUGCAUGGUUGUCGUCAGCUCGUGUCGUGAGAUGUUGGGUUAAGUCCCGCAACGAGCGCAACCCCUGUUGCCAGUUGCCAGCAUUGAGUUGGGGACUCUGGCGAGACUGCCUCUGCAAGGAGGAGGAAGGCGGGGAUGACGUCAAAUCAUCAUGCCCCUUAUGACCUGGGCUACACACGUGCUACAAUGGACGGAUCAGAGGGAGGCGAAGCCGCGAGGUGGAGCGAAACCCAGAAACCCGUUCUCAGUUCGGACUGCAGUCUGCAACUCGACUGCACGAAGUUGGAAUCGCUAGUAAUCGCGAAUCAGCAUGUCGCGGUGGAUACGUUCCCGGGCCUUGCACACACCGCCCGU